GUGACGAUUGAUUGCCCAAUCAGAUAUGAGCACGUCACAUAUUUUGUCACCUGCCAGAGCACGUGACAUUUCUCUCUUCAAUCAACUGCCAGCCAGCCUCUCCUCCCAAUCAGGCUCUGUGAUUUUUCUCCCCCUUUCUCUCGAAACAAACGUUAAAAAAUAAAAAUCUAAAAAGGCCAAUGUCAUUGGAGGUUGCUGGUCUGCAAUAGACAGUCGAGUUAUAAUGUGUCGUCUUCAAACUUGGGAUGAAGAGGAUGAAGACCACUCCCUGAAUACUGGUAAUCAGCUGGAGCAUGAUGAGAUGAGGGUGGAAGUUCGGGUUGCCAUGCUGCGAGCACAAAUAGCAGGGAUUGAAGCUCGGGUGGAAAGACUAGAGGCAAGGAUGUUGUAUCUGCAAAGGGGAUUGCGUAUCAUUUCUGCCCUGUUUUUUGCUACACUUGUGUAUGCAUUGUUGAAAUGACACAAACGUAGCUAUUAUUACUGCCUAUAAUUUGAAAGAACAUGUCACAGAUUGCAUUGCUUGUUUCA
Molecule: long non-coding RNA, 528 nt
Organism: Vitis vinifera (wine grape)
Lineage: Eukaryota; Viridiplantae; Streptophyta; Magnoliopsida; Vitales; Vitaceae
Exons: 2
Source: RefSeq, a predicted model, not a curated record